UACGUAGGGUGCGAGCGUUGUCCGGAAUUAUUGGGCGUAAAGAGCUCGUAGGCGGUGUGUCACGUCGAUCGUGAAAACUCACAGCUCAACUGUGGGCGUGCGGGCGAGACGGGCAGACUAGAGUACUGCAGGGGAGACUGGAAUUCCUGGUGUAGCGGUGGAAUGCGCAGAUAUCAGGAGGAACACCGGUGGCGAAGGCGGGUCUCUGGGCAGUAACUGACGCUGAGGAGCGAAAGCGUGGGGAGCGAACAGG
RNAcentral lists this ribosomal RNA (253 nucleotides) under uncultured bacterium. RNAcentral's name for it is "partial 16S ribosomal RNA". It matches the Rfam family "Bacterial small subunit ribosomal RNA", at positions 524 to 776 of the family's 1533-position model. The record is from RNAcentral.